GCUGGGUGUGGUGGCUCACGCCUGUAAUCCUAGCACUUUGGGAGGCUGAGGCAGGUGGAUCACCUGAGGUCAGGAGUUCAAGACCAGCCUGGCCAACAUGGUGAAACCUUGUCUCUA
This 117-nucleotide small RNA is filed under the name Pongo abelii (Sumatran orangutan). RNAcentral's name for it is "Metazoan signal recognition particle RNA (ENSPPYG00000031891.1)". Lineage: Eukaryota; Metazoa; Chordata; Mammalia; Primates; Hominidae. The record is from Rfam by way of RNAcentral.